Non-coding RNA from Paramuricea clavata, 451 nucleotides. Lineage: Eukaryota; Metazoa; Cnidaria; Anthozoa; Malacalcyonacea; Plexauridae. The record is from the annotation of a GenBank genome assembly.
GAAAAAAAGAAUUUAAAAAAACGCCGAACAUACCACCUGCAGUUCGUUUCACUGCAACACAAAUUCAAAGCAGUUUUGAGCUAUCUAAAGCCAUUUAAAUUUUAGAUUUGUAUUAAAAGGCUGAAUGGGACAGUCGCCCCAGACCCCAAGCUGAUUAGAUAGACUCAAUCUUCUCUGCAAAAACAGACCCAGCAAAAAAAUCCUGACGAAAGCCCUGGCCUUAAUUUAUCUUGCAGACUUUUCGUAUCGACCAAACAUGCACGACUGCCAUUGUUAUGAACAUAGAUACAAACAUUGACGUUUUAUUAGAGAAUAGUCAAUAUUGCUGCCAGUCUGAAUUUCAACGAGGGGUCGUCUAAAAUCCAGGCUACAAACAACGGUGAUAUAUUCCGGAGCGAAAAAGUCAAUUUUUAUAGACAGUCGACUUGCAUUUUGUAAUGUUUGAAUAAAU